AGUGUUAUCCGGAAUCACUGGGCGUAAAGCGUCUGUAGGUGGUCUAAUAAGUCAACUGUUAAAUCUUGAGGCUCAACCUCAAAACCGCAGUCGAAACUAUUAGACUAGAGUAUAGUAGAGGUAAAGGGAAUUUCCAGUGGAGCGGUGAAAUGCGUAGAGAUUGGAAAGAACACCAAUGGCGAAGGCACUUUACUGGGCUACUGCUGACACUCAGAGACGAAAGCUAGGGUAGCAAAUGGGAUUAGAUACCCCAGUAGUCCUAGCUGUAAACAAUGGAUACUAGGUGUUGAACAGAUCGAACUGUGCAGUACUAAAGCUAACGCGUUAAGUAUCCCGCCUGGGAAGUAUGCACGCAAGUGUGAAACUCAAAGGAAUUGACGGGGGCCCGCACAAGCGGUGGAGCAUGUGGUUUAAUUCGAUGCAACGCGAAGAACCUUACCAGGGUUUGACAUGAUACGAAUUUCUUUGAAAUAAGAAAGUGCUAUUUAUUUAGAACGUAUACACAGGUGGUGCAUGGCCGUCGUCAGCUCGUGUCGUGAGAUGUUGGGUUAAGUCCCGCAACGAGCGCNACCCUUGUUUUUAGUUGCCUUCGG
Molecule: ribosomal RNA, 593 nt
Filed under: Elphidium margaritaceum
Lineage: Eukaryota; Foraminifera; Rotaliida; Elphidiidae
Description: SSU rRNA
Rfam family: Bacterial small subunit ribosomal RNA
Source: RNAcentral